RNAcentral lists this ribosomal RNA (634 nucleotides) under fungal sp. ARIZ L144. RNAcentral's name for it is "eukaryotic LSU rRNA". The stretch from base 253 to 406 matches the Rfam family "5.8S ribosomal RNA". The record is from RNAcentral. Lineage: Eukaryota; Fungi.
UGGAAGUAAAAGUCGUAACAAGGUCUCCGUUGGUGAACCAGCGGAGGGAUCAUUACCGAGUUUACAACUCCCAAACCCAAUGUGAACGUUACCAAACUGUUGCCUCGGCGGGAUCUCUGCCCCGGGUGCGUCGCAGCCCCGGACCAAGGCGCCCGCCGGAGGACCAACCAAAACUCUUUUGUAUACCCCCUCGCGGGUUUUUAUAUCUGAGCCAUCUCGGCGCCUCUCGUAGGCGUUUCGAAAAUGAAUCAAAACUUUCAACAACGGAUCUCUUGGUUCUGGCAUCGAUGAAGAACGCAGCGAAAUGCGAUAAGUAAUGUGAAUUGCAGAAUUCAGUGAAUCAUCGAAUCUUUGAACGCACAUUGCGCCCGCCAGUAUUCUGGCGGGCAUGCCUGUCCGAGCGUCAUUUCAACCCUCGAACCCCUCCGGGGGGUCGGCGUUGGGGAUCGGCCCUUUACGGGGCCGGCCCCGAAAUACAGUGGCGGUCUCGCCGCAGCCUCUCCUGCGCAGUAGUUUGCACACUCGCAUCGGGAGCGCGGCGCGUCCAUUGCCGUAAAACACCCAACUUUCUGAAAUGUUGACCUCGGAUCAGGUAGGAAUACCCGCUGAACUUAAGCAUAUCAAUAAGCGGAGG